AGAGUUUGAUCCUGGCUCAGGACGAACGCUGGCGGCGUGCCUAAUACAUGCAAGUCGAACGAAACUUUCUUACACCGAAUGCUUGCAUUCACCGUAAGAAGUUGAGUGGCGGACGGGUGAGUAACACGUGGGUAACCUGCCUAAAAGAAGGGGAUAACACUUGGAAACAGGUGCUAAUACCGUAUAUCUCUAAGGAUCGCAUGAUCCUUAGAUGAAAGAUGGUUCUGCUAUCGCUUUUAGAUGGACCCGCGGCGUAUUAACUAGUUGGUGGGGUAACGGCCUACCAAGGUGAUGAUACGUAGCCGAACUGAGAGGUUGAUCGGCCACAUUGGGACUGAGACACGGCCCAAACUCCUACGGGAGGCAGCAGUAGGGAAUCUUCCACAAUGGACGCAAGUCUGAUGGAGCAACGCCGCGUGAGUGAAGAAGGUCUUCGGAUCGUAAAACUCUGUUGUUAGAGAAGAACACGAGUGAGAGUAACUGUUCAUUCGAUGACGGUAUCUAACCAGCAAGUCACGGCUAACUACGUGCCAGCAGCCGCGGUAAUACGUAGGUGGCAAGCGUUGUCCGGAUUUAUUGGGCGUAAAGGGAACGCAGGCGGUCUUUUAAGUCUGAUGUGAAAGCCUUCGGCUUAACCGGAGUAGUGCAUUGGAAACUGGAAGACUUGAGUGCAGAAGAGGAGAGUGGAACUCCAUGUGUAGCGGUGAAAUGCGUAGAUAUAUGGAAGAACACCAGUGGCGAAAGCGGCUCUCUGGUCUGUAACUGACGCUGAGGUUCGAAAGCGUGGGUAGCAAACAGGAUUAGAUACCCUGGUAGUCC
Molecule: ribosomal RNA, 819 nt
Filed under: uncultured bacterium
Lineage: Bacteria
Description: bacterial SSU rRNA
Rfam family: Bacterial small subunit ribosomal RNA
Source: RNAcentral